Molecule: long non-coding RNA, 1266 nt
Organism: Chenopodium quinoa (quinoa)
Lineage: Eukaryota; Viridiplantae; Streptophyta; Magnoliopsida; Caryophyllales; Amaranthaceae
Exons: 6
Source: RefSeq, a predicted model, not a curated record
GUUGUUAUUAUUAUUAUUACAUCACUAAUCAUUGAAGAAAAAAAUCACAAAGUUAACUAACCCCCAACUAAUUCGUUAGAGACUUAGUUCUUCCUUCAAAGUAGAACAAACAGAACCAAAUUCAACUAAUUCUUCCCACAAAAUAAAAAACCCCAACUAAUUUUUCCCACAAAAUCUAACAAACAAAACCAAAUUGCCCCUAUGUUAUUCCAACUCUCAGAAUUUCGCUCAUCUAUUCCUAAUAGAUUAACCCCAAAAUAGCAUCAAAUUUGAUUUUGAUUUCGAUUAAAUUAAUACUCUGUAUCAACUUUUAAUUUGUUGGUGUAGAUUGAAGAGAGUAAAGAAUUAAAUAUAGAUAGUUUGUUGCCAUCUUCUAAUAAUAUCUUGGUGCAACCUGAAAAUAGCAGCGGAAUACAUCAAUGUGAUUUGAUAAGCUUACGAAUGUUGGAGGAGAUAUUAAGAAUUUCUUAGCUGCCAGACAGCCGCAGCAGCAGGCAGUCAGAGCCGUUAGUAGCUGGCAGCCUGCAUCUAGAAGCCUGCAGCUAUCAGCCACUAGUAGGAAGCAGCAAGCCGACAGCCACUAGAUGCAGCUAGCCGCCACAAGCAGGAAGUCACCAGCGGGCGUGCAGUCGCAGACUGUAGUCAGGAACAACAACUUAGGUCUCAACUAAAGACACCGAUAUGGCAAACAUGCUGUUGAACUAUGUGCCCGUCUAUGCAAUGAUACCGCAAUUCAGUAAGCCUGCAUUAAACAACAAUUCAGUAAGCCUGCAUUAAUCAGCAUUCAGCACAAGCAUUUCCUUAAUUAAGUCACAUAAAAAAUUAUUGCAUAUGAGAAAUUUGAAGUCUAGGAAAUACGGCUCCUUAAUCAAGGCCAUUUACAGAUUCACUACGGCCAAAAUUAUUGUACAUAGCAUAUAAUGAUUUACACCAGAAGUGCUACUGAGUCAGAUAAAAGGUGAAGCAUUUCAAACAUGCCAGAACACUAUAUGGAUGUAUGAGUAGGCUUAACACUAUACCACAACAUUCUUAUGGGGAGGGAGAACCUUAAAUACAUGAAUUGUUAUCUCCUCCCACAACCCCCAAAAUAAGAAAGAUGGUUCCCGUUUGUAGGGAGGCGAUCAUUUUGUACUUCUUAAAGUUCUUGUUAGUUUGGCACAAGGUUGUAAAUUGAUUGAAAUUGAUUUGUUUAUGAACGUGGACGACCAUGAGAAGGCUCAUCUUGAACUAUAAUUUAUGAACAUAGACUUGUUAUUGCAAUAGUUU